UGGGGAAUAUUGGACAAUGGGCGCAAGCCUGAUCCAGCAAUGCCGCGUGGGUGAAGAAGGCCUUCGGGUUGUAAAGCCCUUUUGUACGGGAAGAAAACCUGUUCGUUAAUACCGGACGGGAAUGACGGUACCGUAAGAAUAAGCACCGGCUAACUUCGUGCCAGCAGCCGCGGUAAUACGAAGGGGGCAAGCGUUGUUCGGAAUUACUGGGCGUAAAGGGCGCGUAGGCGGCUUAUCAAGUCAGGCGUGAAAUUCCCGGGCUCAACCUGGGGGCUGCGCUUGAUACUGAUGAGCUUGAAUGCGGGAGAGGAUAGUGGAAUUCCCAGUGUAGAGGUGAAAUUCGUAGAUAUUGGGAAGAACACCGGUGGCGAAGGCGGCUAUCUGGCCCGUAAUUGACGCUGAGGCGCGAAAGCGUGGGGAGCAAA
Molecule: ribosomal RNA, 425 nt
Filed under: uncultured bacterium
Lineage: Bacteria
Description: bacterial SSU rRNA
Rfam family: Bacterial small subunit ribosomal RNA
Source: RNAcentral